AUCGUACUCCCUCCGUCCCAAAAUUCUUGUCUUAAAUUUGUCUAGAUACGGAUGUAUAUAACACUAAAAUAUAACUAAUACAUCCGCAUUUAGACAAAACUAAGACAAGAAUUUUGGGACGGAGGGAGUACAAU
Triticum aestivum (bread wheat) is the source of this 134-nucleotide non-coding RNA. The record is from Rfam. Lineage: Eukaryota; Viridiplantae; Streptophyta; Magnoliopsida; Poales; Poaceae.